UACGGGGGGGGCAAGCGUUGUUCGGAAUUACUGGGCGUAAAGGGCUCGUAGGCGGCCAACUAAGUCGGAUGUGAAAUCCCCAGGCUCAACCUGGGAACUGCAUCCGAUACUGGAUGGCUUGAAUCCGGGAGAGGGAUGCAGAAUUCCAGGUGUAGCGGUGAAAUGCGCAGAUAUCAGGAGGAACACCGGUGGCGAAGGCGGGUCUCUGGGCCGAUACUGACGCUAAGGAGCGAAAGCGUGGGGAGCGAACAGG
This 253-nucleotide ribosomal RNA is filed under the name uncultured bacterium. RNAcentral describes it as "partial 16S ribosomal RNA". It matches the Rfam family "Bacterial small subunit ribosomal RNA", at positions 524 to 776 of the family's 1533-position model. The record is from RNAcentral.